RNAcentral lists this long non-coding RNA (586 nucleotides) under Equus caballus (horse). Its description in RNAcentral is "lncRNA (ENSECAG00000054887.1)". The record is from RNAcentral. Lineage: Eukaryota; Metazoa; Chordata; Mammalia; Perissodactyla; Equidae.
CAAAAAGAGGAGGAUUGGCAGCAGAUGCUAUCUCUGGGUCAAUCUUCCUCACCAAAAAACAUAAAGAAUCAUGAAGAGUUAGGAAUUGCAUGAAACGUUAAUCAAAAGUUUCAGUAUGUCAGCACUUGUGAAGAUACAAUGGUGGUGGAUGUCAUUAUGAGACACUCAUUUCGUAAAGCACAGGUGAAAUAACACAGACUGUCAAGUCAACGUCUAUCAGGUUUCUCACACCUCUCUCCCUCUGCCUAGCCCUCUGGUCUCAGUGAUGGCCCACAGGGGUCUGGGUCAUGAGAGAGGGUCUUGCUAAACUUGAUGCUUUCUAAGAUCAGCAUCAACAGUAAUGCUGUGCCAGAAAGGACACCCAACUGGAAGAAAUGAAGGGCGACAGCGAUAAGGCACCGCAUGUUGAAGUUAAUGGAGAAAUCAAGAUGGUCUGGAAGUGCAGCCGACUGCCCUGCUGACCGAGAUGAGGGGCACUACGACGGCGUGGCGGAACAAAGCCACAGAAGGGUAAAGAACUGAAUGGGCAAGUACUGGCUUCUGCUGACAAGACAAGUACCAACAGGACCAAGAUGGCUGAGCUGCC